RNAcentral lists this ribosomal RNA (835 nucleotides) under Haptophyta environmental samples. Its description in RNAcentral is "bacterial SSU rRNA". It matches the Rfam family "Bacterial small subunit ribosomal RNA", at positions 481 to 1325 of the family's 1533-position model. The record is from RNAcentral. Lineage: Eukaryota; Haptophyta.
GAGGAAUAAGCAUCGGCUAACUCCGUGCCAGCAGCCGCGGUAAUACGGGGGAUGCAAGCGUUAUCCGGAAUCAUUGGGCGUAAAGCGCCUGUAGGUUGUUUAAUAAGUCUGUUGUUAAAGACUGGGGCUUAGCCCCAGGAAAGCAAUGGAAACUACUAGACUAGAGUAUGGUAGGGGUAAAGGGAAUUUCUAGUGUAGCGGUGAAAUGCGUAGAUAUUAGAAAGAACACCGGUGGCGAAAGCGCUUUACUGGACCAUUACUGACACUCAGAGGCGAAAGCUAGGGUAGCCAAAGGGAUUAGAUACCCCUGUAGUCCUAGCCGUAAACGAUGGAUACUAGAUGUUGCGCUUAUUGUGCAGUGUCGUAGCUAACGCGUUAAGUAUCCCGCCUGGGGAGUACGAUCGCAAGGUUGAAACUCAAAGGAAUUGACGGGGGCCCGCACAAGCGGUGGAGCAUGUGGUUUAAUUCGAUGCAACGCGAAGAACCUUACCAGGGCUUGACAUACUGCAAAUUUCUUUGAAAGAGAAAAGUGCCUUCGGGAAUGCAGAUACAGGUGGUGCAUGGCUGUCGUCAGCUCGUGUCGUGAGAUGUUGGGUUAAGUCCCGCAACGAGCGCAACCCUCGUUUUUAGUUGCCAUUUUAUGGGUUCUCUAGAAAGACUGCCGGUGACAAACCGGAGGAAGGUGGGGAUGACGUCAAGUCAGCAUGCCCCUUAUGCCCUGGGCUACACACGUGCUACAAUGGCUAAGACAAAGAGUCGCGAAUUCGCGAGAAUCAGCUAAUCUCAUAAACUUAGUCUAAGUUCAGAUUGUAGGCUGCAACUCGCCUGCAUGAAG